CAGCCAUGUGCCUUCCCAGCUAACAGAGGUCUUCCGGACACCAUUUGCCAUCCUCCAGUGAAGAAUUCAUUGUGAUUGGACCAACUUGGAUCACAUGUCUGUCCCUGCUCUGACUGGCCACAACUCAGUCACAUGCUCCCCCUCAUAUGCUUGGUCUGAGAGAGAAGACAAAGUCCAGCCUCCUUCCUUCCGGUGCACUGGUUAGAUCUCUUGGAUCACCUCCUCUUCUGAACCUGUAGCUACUUUCCUGAUCCUUCCCACAUGCUCCAGUUCCAGAUAUCCUACAGACAGAACAUCUCCAAGGUUUUCAGAGUUUGCGGGACACUGUUAUCGAGUUCCGACUUGGCGGGCCUGGGCCAGGG
Choloepus didactylus (southern two-toed sloth) is the source of this 362-nucleotide long non-coding RNA. RefSeq lists it as uncharacterized. Lineage: Eukaryota; Metazoa; Chordata; Mammalia; Pilosa; Megalonychidae. The record is from RefSeq and is a predicted model, not a curated record. The transcript has 4 exons.